ACGUAGGGUGCGAGCGUUAAUCGGAAUUACUGGACGUAAAGCGUGCGCAGGCGGUUGUGUAAGACAGGUGUGAAAUCCCCGGGCUUAACCUGGGAACGGCGCUUGUGACUGCACGGCUAGAGUACGGCAGAGGGGGGUGGAAUUCCACGUGUAGCAGUGAAAUGCGUAGAGAUGUGGAGGAACACCGAUGGCGAAGGCAGCCCCCUGGGCCAGUACUGACGCUCAUGCACGAAAGUGUGGGGAGCAAACAG
Molecule: ribosomal RNA, 251 nt
Filed under: uncultured prokaryote
Description: partial 16S rRNA
Rfam family: Bacterial small subunit ribosomal RNA
Source: RNAcentral